GUGGGGAAUAUUGGACAAUGGGGGCAACCCUGAUCCAGCAAUGCCGCGUGUGUGAAGAAGGUCUUCGGAUCGUAAAGCACUUUCGACGGGGACGAUGAUGACGGUACCCGUAGAAGAAGCCCCGGCUAACUUCGUGACAGCAGCCGCGGUAAUACGAAGGGGGCUAGCGUUGCUCGGAAUUACUGGGCGUAAAGGGCGCGUAGGCGGCUCUGUUAGUCAGGCGUGAAAUUCCUGGGCUUAACCUGGGGACUGCGCUUGAUACUGCGGAGCUUGAGGCCGAGAGAGGGUGGUGGAAUUCCCAGUGUAGAGGUGAAAUUCGUAGAUAUUGGGAAGAACACCGGUGGCGAAGGCGACCACCUGGCUCGGUACUGACGCUGAGGCGCGACAGCGUGGGGAGCAAACAGGAUUAGAAACCCUUGUAGUCC
RNAcentral lists this ribosomal RNA (425 nucleotides) under uncultured bacterium. RNAcentral's name for it is "partial 16S ribosomal RNA". It matches the Rfam family "Bacterial small subunit ribosomal RNA", at positions 354 to 796 of the family's 1533-position model. The record is from RNAcentral.